GACGAACGCUGGCGGCGUGCUUAACACAUGCAAGUCGAGCGGUAAGGCCCUUUCGGGGGUACACGAGCGGCGAACGGGUGAGUAACACGUGGGUGACCUGCCCUCAGCUCUGGGAUAAGCCUGGGAAACCGGGUCUAAUACUGGAUAUGACUCCAUGACGCAUGUUGUGGGGUGGAAAGCCUUGUGCGGCUGAGGAUGGGCCCGCGGCCUAUCAGCUUGUUGGUGGGGUGANGGCCUACCAAGGCGACGACGGGUAGCCGGCCUGAGAGGGCGACCGGCCACACUGGGACUGAGACACGGGCCAGACUCCUACGGGAGGCAGCAGUAAGGAUAUUGCGCAAUGGGCGAAAGCCUGACGCAGCGACGCCGCGUGGGGAUGAAGGUCUCGGAUUGUAAACCCCGUUUCGGGAGGGAAGAUGGAACGAGCAAUCGUUCGGACGGUACCUCCAG
This 450-nucleotide ribosomal RNA is filed under the name uncultured bacterium. RNAcentral's name for it is "bacterial SSU rRNA". It matches the Rfam family "Bacterial small subunit ribosomal RNA", at positions 28 to 484 of the family's 1533-position model. The record is from RNAcentral.